RNAcentral lists this long non-coding RNA (1691 nucleotides) under Oryctolagus cuniculus (rabbit). RNAcentral describes it as "lncRNA (ENSOCUG00000032062.1)". The record is from RNAcentral. Lineage: Eukaryota; Metazoa; Chordata; Mammalia; Lagomorpha; Leporidae.
GGAUUGGCUUCAGAGCACUAAGAUAGUGAAAGAUUAGAAAAAAAAAACAAAUAAUAUUGUGGCUGAUUCUGUGAGGCAGGCUUUGUUCUCCUCUAGGAUGAAGUUCAUUUCAGAAAGCAUGCGAGGUUGUCAGCUAAGGAAGGCAAGAGAAGGAUGGCAAUGAAAGAGGAACCGCUGACUGUUUAGGUGGUGGUCACCAGUUUGCUAUCGUUGGAAGACCUCUUCCUGGAGAGCCACUUCAUGGACUCCCCAGUGCUCCUCAGCCUGCAGGAAGCUGUCCUGGACAGUAUUACAGAUGGCUGCUGUGAAGAAUCUGCCCCACCCCUUGUCACAGCUCAGGGAGUCUGCAUGACAAAAGAAUAAUUGAAUUGGUAAUGCAACAGUACAAGACAUAGAUCACCAUUUUGCAAGAGGAAUGUUUAAGUCAUGAAUAAUAAAGUGAUUUCCUCCAGAGUAAUUUAUGGCACAGGUAUAUUAGCAAAGCAAGUUCCUGCGGGUGUCAAUGCACCAUGCUACAGACUCAAGAGAAUUCAGCAAGGUCUCCCAGCUCAUCUAAAUGCCUUUCUUUGUGACUUCCACUUAAGUGUUGUGUUCUCUGCCCUCAGUGGCUCUGGGUCUUACCAUGUGACUGACAAGUUCCCUAAGAUAUCAGCCAUUGUGGAGCAAUCAAUGGCACGGAAAACACAUCCGCAUUGGAGCAUGGCCUCUAUUGUUGGGUGAGAACACUGGGUUAAGAAGCCUGGGGUAGCUUGGUGAGGCCAAGACCAUGCAGCAGAGCUCAGGGCAGACCUGGAAGAGACUCUGACUAGGGUCAGCAGGGGAACCACCCUGCAUGCCCAUCACAUAAGGCAAACUCACAGAUUUGUGAGUAAGUAAUAGAGCCACUAUGGUUCUAAAUUAGGGGUAGAUUGCUCUGCGCAACAAGUAAAUGACAGAAUCUGCCAGCCAUUACUUAUCUAUACUGCAGUUAUUAAUUCUUAGUGGAGGGGGAAUGAAAUUAAUAUGGAUCUUUUUCUUCCCUUUCUUCUUUCGCCUAGCCAUCAAAAGCUAAUUAUUUUUUCAAAGUUUGUAUUUAAUUCUAAAUAUACUUAAAUCUCUGUUACUACUCUGUGCUGUUGAGUGUUCAUUGAGGGCUUUUUUUCUGCUUUUCCAAAGCAGAUAAGAUAAGAGCACUCUGUCACCUGAGCUUCAAGCGAUUUGAGAUAAACUCUGAGAGACACCCCAUAGAAGGAAGCCGGAAGAGUCCCAGCCCCCUGCUUCCACCCUUGCAUCUGGCUCUGCUUGGUCAGCAAAGCUUUGAUGAUGGAGUUCUUCAGCCUGUUCCUAAGUAUGAGAUUUUCUUUCUUAUUGUUUAAGAAAACAGAGUUUAGAUUUUUUUUUUUACUAUAAACUGACAAAUUGUAUUUGUACACAUUUGUGAGGAACAAAUUUAGGAAUAUGAUGCAGAAUAAUUCAACCAACUUAAUGAACACGUCUGUCAUAUUGAAUAUUAAUCAUUUUUGUGACAAGAACAUUUGUAAUUUACUUUUAACAAUCUUGAAAAACACUGUACAUUACCAUUUACUAAAGUUUGCAUUUGUUUGUCAUCCUCUAUGCUCAUUUUGGAUGGCUUCUGAUUGUAUUUUCUAAAUGCUUUAACAUUUUUUGAAAAAAAAAGAAAAUAAAUUCUAAAUGAAUUGAGGAAAAAUACA